CCUACGGGAGACAGCAGUGAGGAAUAUUGGUCAAUGGACGAGAGUCUGAACCAGCCAAGUAGCGUGAAGGAUGACUGCCCUAUGGGUUGUAAACUUCUUUUAUAUGGGAAUAAAAUGUUCCACGUGUGGGAUUUUGUAUGUACCAUAUGAAUAAGGAUCGGCUAACUCCGUGCCAGCAGCCGCGGUAAUACGGAGGAUCCGAGCGUUAUCCGGAUUUAUUGGGUUUAAAGGGAGCGUAGGUGGAUUGUUAAGUCAGUUGUGAAAGUUUGCGGCUCAACCGUAAAAUUGCAGUUGAAACUGGCAGUCUUGAGUACAGGAGAGGUGGGCGGAAUUCGUGGUGUAGCGGUGAAAUGCUUAGAUAUCACGAAGAACUCCGAUUGCGAAGGCAGUUCACUGGACUGCAACUGACACUGAGGCUCGAAAGUGUGGGUAUCAAACAGGAUUAGAUACCCCAGUAGUC
Molecule: ribosomal RNA, 460 nt
Filed under: uncultured bacterium
Lineage: Bacteria
Description: partial 16S ribosomal RNA
Rfam family: Bacterial small subunit ribosomal RNA
Source: RNAcentral